RNAcentral lists this ribosomal RNA (431 nucleotides) under Pseudomonadota bacterium. RNAcentral describes it as "Proteobacteria bacterium partial 16S ribosomal RNA". It matches the Rfam family "Bacterial small subunit ribosomal RNA", at positions 355 to 777 of the family's 1533-position model. Lineage: Bacteria; Pseudomonadati; Pseudomonadota. The record is from RNAcentral.
UGGGGAAUAUUGGACAAUGGGGGGAACCCUGAUCCAGCCAUGCCGCGUGUGUGAAGAAGGCCUUAUGGUUGUAAAGCACUUUAAGCGAGGAGGAGGGUACUGGUAUUAAUACUACCAGGUACUGGACGUUACUCGCAGAAUAAGCACCGGCUAACUCUGUGCCAGCAGCCGCGGUAAUACAGAGGGUGCGAGCGUUAAUCGGAUUUACUGGGCGUAAAGCGUGCGUAGGCGGCUAAUUGAGUCGGAUGUGAAAUCCCCGAGCUUAACUUGGGAAUUGCAUUCGAUACUGGUUAGCUAGAGUGUGGGAGAGGAUGGUAGAAUUCCAGGUGUAGCGGUGAAAUGCGUAGAGAUCUGGAGGAAUACCGAUGGCGAAGGCAGCCAUCUGGCCUAACACUGACGCUGAGGUACGAAAGCAUGGGGAGCAAACAGGA